This 450-nucleotide ribosomal RNA is filed under the name uncultured bacterium. Its description in RNAcentral is "partial 16S ribosomal RNA". It matches the Rfam family "Bacterial small subunit ribosomal RNA", at positions 354 to 796 of the family's 1533-position model. The record is from RNAcentral.
GUGGGGAAUCUUCCGCAAUGGACGAAAGUCUGACGGAGCAACGCCGCGUGAGUGAAGAAGGUUUUCGGAUCGUAAAGCUCUUUCGUUAGGGACGAACGUGCUCUUUGUGAAUAAUGAGGAGUAAUGACGGUACCUAAAUAAGAAGCCACGGCUAACUACGUGCCAGCAGCCGCGGUAAUACGUAGGUGGCAAGCGUUGUCCGGAAUUAUUGGGCGUAAAGCGCGCGCAGGCGGGAUAUCAAGUCUGUCUUAAAAGUGCGAGGCUCAACCUCGUGAGGGGACAGAAACUGGUAUUCUUGAGUGUCGGAGAGGAAAGUGGAAUUCCAAGUGUAGCGGUGAAAUGCGUAGAGAUUUGGAAGAACACCAGUGGCGAAGGAGACUUUCUGGACGAUGUCUGACGCUGAGGCGCGAAAGCUAGGGGAGCGAACGGGAUUAGAAACCCGUGUAGUCC